Molecule: ribosomal RNA, 957 nt
Filed under: uncultured bacterium
Lineage: Bacteria
Description: bacterial SSU rRNA
Rfam family: Bacterial small subunit ribosomal RNA
Source: RNAcentral
AGAGUUUGAUCCUGGCUCACGAUGAACGCUAGCGGCAGGCUUAAUACAUGCCAGUCGAACGGGAUUCGAGGUAGCAAUACUUUGAUGAGAGUGGCGAACGGGUGCGUAACGCGUAUGCAACCUACCUUUAACUGGAGGAUAGCCCCGAGAAAUCGGGAUUAAUACUUCAUAAUAUUGAGAUCUGGCAUCAUUUCUUAAUUAAAGCUUCGGCGGUUAAAGAUGGGCAUGCGUGACAUUAGAUAGUUGGUGAGGUAACGGCUCACCAAGUCAGCGAUGUCUAGGGGUCCUGAGAGGAUUUUCCCCCACACUGGUACUGAGACACGGACCAGACUCCUACGGGAGGCAGCAGUAAGGAAUAUUGGUCAAUGGGCGAAAGCCUGAACCAGCCAUGCCGCGUGCACGAUGACGGCCCUAUGGGUUGUAAACUGCUUUUAUCAGGGAAUAAACCUAUCUACGUGUAGAUAGCGGAAGGUACCUGAAGAAUAAGCACCGGCUAACUCCGUGCCAGCAGCCGCGGUAAUACGGAGGGUGCAAGCCUUAUCCGGAUUUAUUGGGUUUAAAGGGUGCGCAGGCGGACUAAUAAGUCAGUGGUGAAAUCUCUCGGCUCAACCGUGAAACUGCCAUUGAUACUGUUAUUCUUGAGUAUAGUUGUAGUGGGCGGAAUAUAGCAUGUAGCGGUGAAAUGCUUAGAUAUGCUACAGAACACCGAUCGCGAAGGCAGCUCACUAAGCUAUAACUGACGCUCACGCCCGAAAGCGUGGGGAUCAAACAGGAUUAGAUACCCUGGUAGUCCACGCCGUAAACGAUGAUUACUCGAUGUUGGCGAUACACAGUCAGCGUCCAAGCGAAACCGUUAAGUAAUCCACCUGGGGAGUACGAUCGCAAGAUUGAAACUCAAAGGAAUUGACGGGGGCCCGCACAAGCGGAGGAGCAUGUGGUUUAAUUCGAUGAUACGCG